This 787-nucleotide ribosomal RNA is filed under the name uncultured bacterium. RNAcentral's name for it is "bacterial SSU rRNA". It matches the Rfam family "Bacterial small subunit ribosomal RNA", at positions 79 to 870 of the family's 1533-position model. The record is from RNAcentral.
GCAAGGGAUCAGUAGAGUGGCAAACGGGUGAGUAACACGUGGGUGACCUGCCUUCGAGUGGGGGAUAACGUCCCGAAAGGGACGCUAAUACCGCAUGACAUCCUGCUUUUGAACAGGCGGAGAUCAAAGCUGGGGAUCGCAAGACCUAGCGCUUGAAGAGGGGCCCGCGUCUGAUUAGCUAGUUGGUGAGGUAACGGCUCACCAAGGCGACGAUCAGUAUCCGGCCUGAGAGGGCGGACGGACACACUGGGACUGAAACACGGUCCAGACUCCUACGGGAGGCAGCAGUGGGGAAUUUUGCGCAAUGGGGGAAACCCUGACGCAGCAACGCCGCGUGGAGGAUGAAAUCCCUUGGGAUGUAAACUCCUUUCGAUAGGGAAGAUAAUGACGGUACCUAUAGAAGAAGCCCCGGCUAACUUCGUGCCAGCAGCCGCGGUAAUACGAGGGGGGCAAGCGUUGUUCGGAUUUAUUGGGCGUAAAGGGUGCGUAGGCGGUUUGGCAAGUCUUGUGUGAAAUCUUUGGGCUCAACCCAAAGUCUGCACAAGAAACUGCCGGGCUUGAGUAUGGGAGAGGUGAGUGGAAUUUCCGGUGUAGCGGUGAAAUGCGUAGAUAUCGGAAGGAACACCUGUGGCGAAAGCGGCUCACUGGACCAUUACUGACGCUGAGGCACGAAAGCUAGGGGAGCAAACAGGAUUAGAUACCCUGGUAGUCCUAGCCUAAACGAUGAUUUGUUUGAUGUGGCAGGUACCCAAUCCUGCCGUGUCGAAGCUAACGCGAUAAACAUCCC